Molecule: ribosomal RNA, 777 nt
Filed under: uncultured Neocallimastigales
Lineage: Eukaryota; Fungi; Neocallimastigomycota; Neocallimastigomycetes; Neocallimastigales
Description: partial large subunit ribosomal RNA
Rfam family: Eukaryotic large subunit ribosomal RNA
Source: RNAcentral
CGAGCACGCGCGUGUGGCAUAUCAAUAAGCGGAGGAAAAGAAACUAACAAGGAUUCCCUUAGUAACGGCGAGUGAAGCGGGAAGAGCUCAAAUUUGAAAUCUUCAAGGUUCUACCUUGACGAAUUGUAGUUUAAAGAAGUGUUUUCUGUUGGUGUUUUGGUAAAAGUUCUUUGGAAUAGGACAUCAUAGAGGGUGAGAAUCCCGUAUUUGACCAUUACUUCCAGCGUUGUGAUACACUUUCAAAGAGUCGGAUUGUUUGGGAAUGCAGUCCAAAAUGGGUGGUAAAUUUCAUCUAAAGCUAAAUAUUGGCGAGAGACCGUUAGCGAACAAGUACCGUGAGGGAAAGAUGAAAAGAACUUUGAAAAGAGAGUUAAACAGUACGUGAAAUUGUCAAAAGGGAAGCGUUUGACACCAGUGUUGUUUUUCCGAAAAUCAAUUACGAAUGUUUUAUUUUUGAGAAGUUAUGACUUCAUCGGCUUGCUUCUCUCUUUAUGAAACUUUCUUAAUGCACUUUUCAGUUAACAAGUCAACAUCAAUUUCUUCUGUUGUAAAAGGGUAUGAGGAAGGUGGCUUACUUUUCGGCGUAAAGUGUUUAUAGCCUUUGACUCCUACAAUCGGAGAGAUUGAGGAUCUGCAGCGUAGACUCCUUCUGGGGUUAGAUACACUUGUGCUAAGCUAUAGCCUUGUAUAGACAACUUGUUGACUAUGCUCAGUCAUGUAGCUUACUCGCUUGUGCUAUUUUACCUACGCUUAGGAUGUUGAGUAGCGACAUACGCA